Molecule: long non-coding RNA, 928 nt
Organism: Brienomyrus brachyistius
Lineage: Eukaryota; Metazoa; Chordata; Actinopteri; Osteoglossiformes; Mormyridae
Exons: 4
Source: RefSeq, a predicted model, not a curated record
CACAGUACAAUACGUCUAGUCUUUAACGCCAUUCACAGCGCAUUUGGCGCAGUCCUGGUUUGUAUUUUCCUCCCUUCCUGUGCACGGAGCUCGGAGAUCGUGUGUCUGAAAAGCACUCGCUAAUCCCAGUGAAUAGCACGGCCUCUCACGUUAAAAAGGUUUGAGAAAAUCGCAUGUGGCAACACAGAAGACGGCACCUGCCAGGAUAAUUAAACGGAUAAGCAGUGGAAAUGCGGGCAGUGGAAUAGAUGGACGACAAGAUUUGUUGUACCCCUACAGGAAUAUGAAAGAACACAGCGGGAAUUGCUUGUUAGGCUGAUCAUGGCGUCGGAUGCCUGUCUUCAAUCAUAUCCAGACAGAGCUAUGAAAGCGGCUGGGGCACAGAGGGCAUUAGAAGACAAGAGCAGGAGAUCGCACAGGUGGACCCUGUGAAUCCAUGCGGACGGUCGCUGGAAUUAAAUCAGUGGAGCAGCCUGUCAGUCCUGGAGGCACAACGGACACAAACAUGCAGCUCUUCGCAUUUCAGUGCUGCUCCCAGACCCAGACCCACAAUACCAGCAUGGACACAAACACGCUCAGACAGAACAGGCUAAAUGCACUUCGGUCUACAGAGGCUACCCAGACGAGGUCAUUCAUGCUUAUAAUUCCAUCUAUCGACCGGCCAAAUGCAAUUUUCAUCGGUGCCAAUAUGUGUCUGUGAUGCACACACCGUUCAUAAUCGACGGAAGACUGUGUCUGACAUUUUUGAUAAUUGCUCAUACUGGUUUUGCACAGUGACACAAUGAGCAGCACAGUAACCUCACAUCUCCAGGUUACUGGUGUCCCCUCUCUAGUGCUCUGUGCAUUGUGGGAUUGGCUCCAGGCUCGUUGUAACCCUGUACUGGAUCAAUGAUUUCGGAAUGUGCUUAUCUAUGAUAAUCCCAUAUUU